Molecule: ribosomal RNA, 2883 nt
Filed under: Acinetobacter baumannii
Lineage: Bacteria; Pseudomonadati; Pseudomonadota; Gammaproteobacteria; Moraxellales; Moraxellaceae
Description: bacterial LSU rRNA
Rfam family: Bacterial large subunit ribosomal RNA
Source: RNAcentral
UCAAGUAAUUAAGUGCAUGUGGUGGAUGCCUUGGCAGUCAGAGGCGAUGAAAGACGUGAUAGCCUGCGAAAAGCUCCGGGAGGCGGCAAAUAUCCUUUGAUCCGGAGAUGUCUGAAUGGGGGAACCCACCUACUUUAAGGUAGGUAUUGCAACAUGAAUACAUAGUGUUGCAAGGCGAACGAGGGGAAGUGAAACAUCUCAGUACCCUUAGGAAAAGAAAUCAAUUGAGAUUCCCUCAGUAGCGGCGAGCGAACGGGGAUCAGCCCAUUAAGUUAUGUGUGUUUUAGUGGAACGCUCUGGGAAGUGCGAACGUAGAGGGUGAUAUUCCCGUACACGAAAGGGCACACAUAAUGAUGACGAGUAGGGCGAGGCACGUGAAACCUUGUCUGAAUAUGGGGACCAUCCUCCAAGGCUAAAUACUCCUGACUGACCGAUAGUGAACCAGUACCGUGAGGGAAAGGCGAAAAGAACCCCUGUGAGGGGAGUGAAAUAGAUCCUGAAACCGCAUGCAUACAAGCAGUGGGAGCACCUUCGUGGUGUGACUGCGUACCUUUGUAUAAUGGGUCAGCGACUUAUAUUCAGUAGCGAGGUUAACCGUAUAGGGGAGCCGUAGAGAAAUCGAGUCUUAAUAGGGCGUUUAGUUGCUGGGUAUAGACCCGAAACCAGGCGAUCUAUCCAUGAGCAGGUUGAAGGUUGGGUAACACUAACUGGAGGACCGAACCCACUGUCGUUGAAAAGCCAGGGGAUGACUUGUGGAUAGGGGUGAAAGGCUAAUCAAGCCUGGUGAUAGCUGGUUCUCCCCGAAAGCUAUUUAGGUAGCGCCUCGGACGAAUACCAUAGGGGGUAGAGCACUGUUUCGGCUAGGGGGUCAUCCCGACUUACCAAACCGAUGCAAACUCCGAAUACCUAUGAGUACUAUCCGGGAGACAGACUGCGGGUGCUAACGUCCGUAGUCAAGAGGAAAACAAUCCAGACCGCCAGCUAAGGCCCCAAAAUCAUAGUUAAGUGGGAAACGAUGUGGGAAGGCAUAGACAGCUAGGAGGUUGGCUUAGAAGCAGCCACCCUUUAAAGAAAGCGUAAUAGCUCACUAGUCGAGUCGGCCUGCGCGGAAGAUGUAACGGGCUAAAACUAUGUGCCGAAGCUGCGGAUGUAUACUUUGUAUACGUGGUAGGGGAGCGUUCUGUAAGCCGAUGAAGGUGUGUUGAGAAGCAUGCUGGAGGUAUCAGAAGUGCGAAUGCUGACGUGAGUAACGACAAAACGGGUGAAAAAACCCGUUCGCCGAAAGACCAAGGGUUCCAGUCCAACGUUAAUCGGGGCUGGGUGAGUCGACCCCUAAGGCGAGGCCGAAAGGCGUAGUCGAUGGGAAAAUGGUUAAUAUUCCAUUACUUCUGUGUAAUGCGAUGAGAGGACGGAGAAGGCUAAAUCAGCCUGGCGUUGGUUGUCCAGGUGAAAGGAUGUAGGCAUGUAUCUUAGGCAAAUCCGGGGUACUCUAUGCUGAGAUCUGAUAGCAAGCUGUACUUGUACAGCGAAGUGGUUGAUGCCAUGCUUCCAGGAAAAGUCUCUAAGCUUCAGUUACACAGGAAUCGUACCCGAAACCGACACAGGUGGUCAGGUCGAGUAGACCAAGGCGCUUGAGAGAACUCUGCUGAAGGAACUAGGCAAAAUGGUACCGUAACUUCGGGAGAAGGUACGCUGUUGUUGGUGAUGGAACUCGCUUCCUGAGCUGACGACAGCCGCAGAAACCAGGCCGCUGCAACUGUUUAUUAAAAAACAUAGCACUCUGCAAACACGAAAGUGGACGUAUAGGGUGUGAUGCCUGCCCGGUGCUGGAAGGUUAAUUGAUGGGGUUAGCGUAAGCGAAGCUCUUGAUCGAAGCCCCAGUAAACGGCGGCCGUAACUAUAACGGUCCUAAGGUAGCGAAAUUCCUUGUCGGGUAAGUUCCGACCUGCACGAAUGGCAUAAUGAUGGCGGCGCUGUCUCCAGCAGAGGCUCAGUGAAAUCGAAAUCGCUGUGAAGAUGCAGUGUACCCGCGGCUAGACGGAAAGACCCCGUGAACCUUUACUGCAGCUUGACACUGAACUUUGACCUUACUUGUGUAGGAUAGGUGGGAGGCUUUGAAGCUGGAACGCUAGUUCCAGUGGAGCCGUCCUUGAAAUACCACCCUGGUAAUGUUGAGGUUCUAACUCUGUCCCGUGAUCCGGGACGAGGACCGUGUCUGGUGGGUAGUUUGACUGGGGCGGUCUCCUAAAGAGUAACGGAGGAGUACGAAGGUGCGCUCAGCGUGGUCGGAAAUCACGCGUAGAGUAUAAAGGCAAAAGCGCGCUUAACUGCGAGACCCACAAGUCGAGCAGGUACGAAAGUAGGUCUUAGUGAUCCGGUGGUUCUGUAUGGAAGGGCCAUCGCUCAACGGAUAAAAGGUACUCUGGGGAUAACAGGCUGAUACCGCCCAAGAGUUCAUAUCGACGGCGGUGUUUGGCACCUCGAUGUCGGCUCAUCUCAUCCUGGGGCUGAAGCAGGUCCCAAGGGUAUGGCUGUUCGCCAUUUAAAGAGGUACGCGAGCUGGGUUUAGAACGUCGUGAGACAGUUCGGUCCCUAUCUACCGUGGGCGCUGGAAAUUUGAGAGGAUCUGCUCCUAGUACGAGAGGACCAGAGUGGACGAACCUCUGGUGUACCGGUUGUGACGCCAGUCGCAUCGCCGGGUAGCUAUGUUCGGAAGGGAUAACCGCUGAAAGCAUCUAAGCGGGAAGCCUACCUCAAGAUAAGAUUUCCUAGGACUUUAUGUCCUCUAAAGAGCCGUUCGAGACUAGGACGUUGAUAGGUUGGAUGUGGAAGCAUAGUGAUAUGUGAAGCUGACCAAUACUAAUUGCUCGUGAGGCUUGACUA